AUUGCACUCCUAACCUUUUCUGGAAAAACUUUAGACUGGAGGACAACCAGUCAAUGUCUAAGGAUACCAGAAAAGAGGUCACAGUAAAGUAUUUGAGUAGAGAUUCGAUGGGCAGUUAUUGGACCAAAUCAUGUCACGGCUGUGAAUAUACAUGUUCAAGAAGCAACAAGGUUUUAUGUCACUCCAGCUCUCAGUAGUUCAGUCUAAGAACCAUACUGAGAGUCUCUAGGAGUUUGUACAAGGUGACAUGCUUGAGGGGGACAACAGGCACCUUUGUAGAGAGUUUCAA
Amphimedon queenslandica is the source of this 289-nucleotide long non-coding RNA. RefSeq lists it as uncharacterized. The record is from RefSeq and is a predicted model, not a curated record. The transcript has 3 exons. Lineage: Eukaryota; Metazoa; Porifera; Demospongiae; Haplosclerida; Niphatidae.